This 494-nucleotide ribosomal RNA is filed under the name uncultured bacterium. RNAcentral's name for it is "bacterial SSU rRNA". It matches the Rfam family "Bacterial small subunit ribosomal RNA", at positions 903 to 1397 of the family's 1533-position model. The record is from RNAcentral.
AAAUGAAUUGACGGGGGCCCGCACAAGCGGAGGAGCAUGUGGUUUAAUUCGAUGAUACGCGAGGAACCUUACCUGGGCUUAAAUGUAGAGUGACGUUCUGUGAAAGCAGAAUUUCCGUAAGGACAAACUACAAGGUGCUGCAUGGCUGUCGUCAGCUCGUGCCGUGAGGUGUUGGGUUAAGUCCCGUAACGAGCGCAACCCCUAUCAUUAGUUGCCAUCAGGUCAAGCUGGGAACUCUAAUGAAACUGCCCGCGCAAGCGGUGAGGAAGGUGGGGAUGACGUCAAGUCAGCACGGCCCUUACGUCCAGGGCUACACACGUGCUACAAUGGCCGAUACAGAGGGUCGCUACCUGGUGACAGGAUGCAAAUCUCGAAAGUCGGUCUCAGUUCGGAUCGAAGUCUGCAACUCGACUUCGUGAAGUUGGAUUCGCUAGUAAUCGCGCAUCAGCAAUGGCGCGGUGAAUACGUUCCCGGGCCUUGUACACACCGCCCGU